CCUACGGGCGGCAGCAGUGAGGAAUAUUGGUCAAUGGGCGGAAGCCUGAACCAGCCAAGUCGCGUGAGGGAUUAAGGCCCUGCGGGUCGUAAACCUCUUUUGCCGGGGAGCAGAGGUCCGGACGUGUCCGGGCCGGGAGAGUAACCGGAGAAAAAGCAUCGGCUAACUCCGUGCCAGCAGCCGCGGUAAUACGGAGGAUGCGAGCGGUAUACGGAUUUAUUGGGUUAAAGGGGUGCGUAGGCAGGCAUUUAAGCCGGCGGUCAAAUGUCGGGGCUCAACCCCGGCCUGCCGUCGGAAAGGGGUGCCGUGAGUGGGCGAGAAGUAUGCGGAAGGCGUGGUGUAGCGGUGAAAUGCAUAGAUAUCACGCAGAACCCCGAUUGCGAAGGCAGCAUACCGGCGCCCUACUGACGCUGAGGCACGAAAGUGCGGGUAUCGAACAGGAUUAGAUACCCCAGUAGUC
This 460-nucleotide ribosomal RNA is filed under the name uncultured bacterium. Its description in RNAcentral is "partial 16S ribosomal RNA". It matches the Rfam family "Bacterial small subunit ribosomal RNA", at positions 338 to 795 of the family's 1533-position model. The record is from RNAcentral.